RNAcentral lists this ribosomal RNA (253 nucleotides) under uncultured bacterium. Its description in RNAcentral is "partial 16S ribosomal RNA". It matches the Rfam family "Bacterial small subunit ribosomal RNA", at positions 524 to 776 of the family's 1533-position model. The record is from RNAcentral.
UACGAGGGGGGCGCGCGUUGUUCGGAAUUAUUGGGCGUAAAGAGCUCGUAGGCGGUUUGUUGCGUCGGCUGUGAAAUCCCGAGGCUCAACCUCGGGUCUGCAGUCGAUACGAGCAAACUAGAGUGUUGCAGGGGAGACUGGAAUUCCUGGUGUAGCGGUGAAAUGCGCAGAUAUCAGGAGGAACACCGGUGGCGAAGGCGGGUCUCUGGGCAACAACUGACGCUGAGGAGCGAAAGCGUGGGGAGCGAACAGG